Molecule: long non-coding RNA, 258 nt
Filed under: Gallus gallus (chicken)
Lineage: Eukaryota; Metazoa; Chordata; Aves; Galliformes; Phasianidae
Source: RNAcentral
UGAGGUUCUACGCCUCCAGGCCUGGCGACUCCGCCACCUCACCCAUUCCAACACCUCCUGGAAAGGGGGGUUUCUGUGCCCCCACCCACCCCGGUGCAGCUCGAGGCCAUCUUCCCCAGGACCCCCACCUCGCAGCAGCCUCUGUCAAGCAGCGUACAGAAAGAAUAACAAGCAACAGUGUCAACACAGAAGGAAUUUUCUCCAAAGUCACACCGUGGCCAAUCUACAGCAACAAUAAUAGAUAUUAUGAAUCCCACA